GGGCGGGUGGCGGAAUUGGCAGACGCGCACGGUUCAGGUCCGUGUGUCCUUACGGACAUGGGGGUUCAAGUCCCCCCUCGCCCA
RNAcentral lists this transfer RNA (84 nucleotides) under Actinomycetota bacterium. RNAcentral's name for it is "Actinobacteria bacterium tRNA-Leu". It matches the Rfam family "tRNA". From Rfam's summary of the family: Transfer RNA (tRNA) molecules are approximately 80 nucleotides in length. Their secondary structure includes four short double-helical elements and three loops (D, anti-codon, and T loops). Lineage: Bacteria; Bacillati; Actinomycetota. The record is from RNAcentral.